Molecule: ribosomal RNA, 425 nt
Filed under: uncultured bacterium
Lineage: Bacteria
Description: partial 16S ribosomal RNA
Rfam family: Bacterial small subunit ribosomal RNA
Source: RNAcentral
GUGGGGAAUCUUGCGCAAUGGGCGAAAGCCUGACGCAGCCAUGCCGCGUGAAUGAUGAAGGUCUUAGGAUUGUAAAAUUCUUUCACCGGGGACGAUAAUGACGGUACCCGGAGAAGAAGCCCCGGCUAACUUCGUGCCAGCAGCCGCGGUAAUACGAAGGGGGCUAGCGUUGCUCGGAAUUACUGGGCGUAAAGGGCGCGUAGGCGGACAGUUUAGUCAGAGGUGAAAGCCCAGGGCUCAACCUUGGAAUUGCCUUUGAUACUGGCUGUCUUGAGUACGGGAGAGGUGAGUGGAACUCCGAGUGUAGAGGUGAAAUUCGUAGAUAUUCGGAGGAACACCAGUGGCGAAGGCGGCUCACUGGCUCGAUACUGACGCUGAGGUGCGAAAGCGUGGGGAGCAAACAGGAUUAGAUACCCCAGUAGUCC